UACGUAGGUGACAAGCGUUGUCCGGAUUUACUGGGCGUAAAGAGCGCGCAGGCGGUCGUUCAAGUCGAGUGUGAAAGCCCCCGGCUCAACUGGGGAGGGUCACUCGAUACUGAUCGACUUGAAGGCAGGAGAGGGAAGCGGAAUUCCCGGUGUAGUGGUGAAAUGCGUAGAUAUCAGGAGGAACACCGGUGGCGAAGGCGGGUCUCUGGGCCGAAAUUGACGCUGAGGAGCGAAAGCGUGGGGAGCAAACAGG
RNAcentral lists this ribosomal RNA (253 nucleotides) under uncultured bacterium. RNAcentral's name for it is "partial 16S ribosomal RNA". It matches the Rfam family "Bacterial small subunit ribosomal RNA", at positions 524 to 776 of the family's 1533-position model. The record is from RNAcentral.